Molecule: unclassified non-coding RNA, 680 nt
Filed under: Hevea brasiliensis (rubber tree)
Lineage: Eukaryota; Viridiplantae; Streptophyta; Magnoliopsida; Malpighiales; Euphorbiaceae
Source: RNAcentral
UUGUACGCAGUAGGUGGCUUGGAACCUAAAUGACCUUCUCUCAGGGCAGCCUCGGCAUCUUCCUUGAGUCUGAGCUUGGCGGCCUCAUGAUUAGCACGAGGAUCUCUCCUAAUGUCAUGGAGAGUAAGAGGAAGCUCAUGGUCUGUGUCCGCAGAAAUUCCGUAGUCAGAGACCUCCCGCGUGUACAAGCGGUCACUAGGCUGCUGCUUCUCCUUUUCCGUAUCAACGGCCACUUUGUCAAACUCGUCUUCUUCCUCCUCAUAGUCAAGGGUGCAAUCUAAACCAAUGCCAGACCGGAUAUCUGAUUCAUUAUCAUCAUCUGGUUCUUGGCCGUCGCCGAGCUGUUCCAGAUCGGACUGGAGCUGUUUGGGAAAAUCUAGGGUUUGGGGGGACUUCGAGAAGAAGCCGUCAAUAUGGGGAGGGCAGGGUUUGGAAUCAAAGUCGACUAGCUCGCGGGAUGGGGUAUCCCUAUUCCAUUCCCUUUUCUCAAUUUCAUCGUCGGUUAAACACCAGAGAGAACUCAAAUUAGAGGUCUCCGUCAAAGACCCGAACACUUUGUCCACCCGUACUCUGAAGCUCUCAUCCAUUGUAAACAGUGAGCUUUGCUUUGAAAAUCGCUCGCACUUCGCCUCUCCCUUUGUAAAGAUAUGGACUCUAUAGCAGGUAAAUCGGGGCUGCCG